UCCCUCCCCUCUCUCUCUCCUUCCAUCCCCCUCCCUCUUCCUCUCUGUUUCUUCAAGAGAACCUGAAGUCAAAAAGUUAUCCUAUGAAGUGUUGGUUCUGCAGUUUUUCAGUUCAAGUCAACAAGAUCUAUUGAGCCGUAGACUAUGACACGGAAGAAGAGCUCACUGGCCCUGUGUCGCAUUAAAAUCACACCUUACCAGAUCACAUUGCAGGACUGUAAGAAGACACCAACCUUUUUUUGAGGUAGAUGCACAAAGUGGUUCAAGUAACAAUGGUGGGGAAGAGUAUGUAGAAGCUGAGACUCUGGAACAUAAAAUAGCAUCUCUUUUUGAUGGUGAUGAAUGUUAAAAUUGGUUGUCAGAUGUACAUGUACACUGUUCUAAAAGCUUACGCUGGACUCGCAUGAUUCCAACUUUAAUGAUACAGUCAUGUGUUUAUUUAAUGUUUGUUGAAAAUAAACAUGGAAAUUGAA
Micropterus salmoides (largemouth bass) is the source of this 473-nucleotide long non-coding RNA. RefSeq lists it as uncharacterized. The record is from RefSeq and is a predicted model, not a curated record. NCBI's taxonomy places the organism in Eukaryota, Metazoa, Chordata, Actinopteri, Centrarchiformes, Centrarchidae. The transcript is spliced from 2 exons.